CUUCAACUUUUAUCAUCUCCCUCUCAUUCGCUCACUCACUCUCACACUCACACUCACACUCUCUCUCACACACACACACACAUAUAUAUAGAGUAAGAAUCUUAGACUCACCCAUCUAAAAACUCACUCGACUCACCUAUAUAUACACUCCUUUUUUGCUUCUCUUUCCUCAUUACAGUCAGCCCAAAAAAGAUCAAAUACGACUUUUGCUCGCCUCUCUCUCUCCGCGAAAAAUUGCAGCCCCUUGUCCCUCUCUCUUCGCGACGAGUCAGUCCCUUCUCUCUCCUCCGAAUCACCUUGCAGCAAUAUAUAUCGACGAAGAGAUCUCCACAUCAGCAACUGAAGCCAUUUCGCUAGACAAACUAAUACGAAGAGAUGUGAGCCCUUCUCGUCGAUUCGUCAAUUUUAGACCAAGGUAACAAAAUUAGAACUUUGUAUAUGGAUUUUCUUGUUGUAUGGGUUGAAAUCAGGCUUAGAUUUGUUCCAAUUUGUGUUUUGGUGUUCAAGAAUAGCUUUUUUAGGGCUUAAAAUUAAUGAGGGCCAAACCCUAUAAUCUGCAAAUUUUGGUUAAGAUUUUCUGUUUUCAGUUUAUUGUAAUAGUAAUGAGUCCAUCGUGAUAGUAAUUAAUGAGUCAUUUUUUCUGCUGAAGAAUUUACUUUGGUUGUGAGAAAAUUGCACUAAUAUAGUCAAAAUAGCUUGGGAUGGAGUUGGGUUCGGUGUACAAAGCUGGUAUGUUGUAGUCUUUUGAUGUAAAUAGAAAUGUUUUGCACAUCCUCUGUAAUGGAAAAUUUCAAAGCUGUUUGUACAAAAUUAUUGACAUUGUGGACUCUAAUGCGUACAGCGAGCUGGAGUAGUCUUAUCUCGCUAAUAUUAACAUUAGCCUUGCAUUUAUUUGCUGCUGGAAUAGUGUUUGUUUACAUAUUCUUUGAGUCAUUAGAUGGUGCGAUAUUAUUAAUUCCAGGGGGCACGCAUAUUCUUUGAGUCAUUUGCAGUUGAUUAAUGUAUUUCGUCUGCUGUCUAUUUGCUGCUGUCAGUUUUUUGUGCGACAGAUCAAGGCAAAUAAUGCCUGGAUUAAUUCGAAAGAUCAAUGGAAUGGAAGAUCAAUGGAAUGGAGCAAGAGAAGGAGAACAUGCGUGCAAUAACAUGCGUGCAAUAGGCAACAAAGGAAGAACAAAAUUAAUUAUUGCACUUGUAUGUUCUUGGUUAUUGAUUUUAAUAAUGUUAUUGUAGAAGGAGUAAAAAUUGUCAUUUGGCUUGAUUAAACUUUGGUGUUAAUUUAUUGUAACCUUGUCUAAGAAGGACAUGUAAUCAUAGUAUGAUUUCGUUUUUUAUGGUUGUGUAAUCGUGUGGUGGCAAUGAAAUAUGAAAUACUUAUUUACUAAAUCGUGUGGUGUGAAUGUUAUAUGUUACCUGUAC
This 1416-nucleotide long non-coding RNA is filed under the name Panax ginseng (ginseng). Its description in RNAcentral is "long non-coding RNA (PGIN_LNC018897)". Lineage: Eukaryota; Viridiplantae; Streptophyta; Magnoliopsida; Apiales; Araliaceae. The record is from RNAcentral.